UACGUAGGGACCAAGCGUUGUUCGGAUUUACUGGGCGUAAAGGGCGCGUAGGCGGCGUGGUAAGUCACUUGUGAAAUCUCCGAGCUUAACUCGGAACGGUCAAGUGAUACUGUCGGACUAGAGUACAGAAGGGGCAACUGGAAUUCUCGGUGUAGCGGUGAAAUGCGUAGAUAUCGAGAGGAACACCUGCGGCGAAGGCGGGUUGCUGGGCUGAUACUGACGCUGAGGCGCGAAAGCCAGGGGAGCGAACGGGA
This 254-nucleotide ribosomal RNA is filed under the name uncultured bacterium. RNAcentral describes it as "partial 16S ribosomal RNA". It matches the Rfam family "Bacterial small subunit ribosomal RNA", at positions 524 to 777 of the family's 1533-position model. The record is from RNAcentral.